This 112-nucleotide small nuclear RNA is filed under the name Amborella trichopoda. The record is from RNAcentral. Lineage: Eukaryota; Viridiplantae; Streptophyta; Magnoliopsida; Amborellales; Amborellaceae.
GUCUUUUUGGAGACAUUCAAUAAAAUUGAAACGAUACAGAGAAGAUUAGCAUGGCCCUGUCAUCUCUUGCGCAAGGAUGACACGCACAAAUCGAGAAAUAGUCCAAAUUUCU